This 395-nucleotide unclassified non-coding RNA is filed under the name Hevea brasiliensis (rubber tree). The record is from RNAcentral. Lineage: Eukaryota; Viridiplantae; Streptophyta; Magnoliopsida; Malpighiales; Euphorbiaceae.
GCAUGAGCUGUGCUGCAAGUUGCACUAUAAAACAAUAUACAAAUUUCGAGGGUAGUGCAUAAUGGUCAAACUUUAACACUGGAAAUUGCUAAUAUAAUAAUAACAUCAUGUGAGGUUCGUUUAGUGACCUGAGCCAAAGACACCGAAAGCAGGAAAAAUGAACCAAUCAAUUAUAUUCAAAUCAUCAGAGAACGUAUAACAGAGAGAGCACACUGUAAAUUAUUCAUGCAGUAUCUCUCAGGUAUUGUGGCAACACAAGGGAGAGAACAAGGCUCCCUUCACAUUAAACCCCUUUAUCCCAAACUCACAGCAUCCAAAUAUGCGAUCUUGUGAUGCAGAUUUCAAGUCUUUGUCGAGCAUUUAGCGCUAUGCUGAUUCAAAAAUGCCUCAAGUAG